AGUGAACGCUGGCGGUAGGCCUAACACAUGCAAGUCGAACGGCAGCACAGUAAGAGCUUGCUCUUACGGGUGGCGAGUGGCGGACGGGUGAGGAAUACAUCGGAAUCUACUUUUUCGUGGGGGAUAACGUAGGGAAACUUACGCUAAUACCGCAUACGACCUACGGGUGAAAGCAGGGGAUCUUCGGACCUUGCGCGAUUGAAUGAGCCGAUGUCGGAUUAGCUAGUUGGCGGGGUAAAGGCCCACCAAGGCGACGAUCCGUAGCUGGUCUGAGAGGAGGAUGAGCGAAGCUGGAAAUGAGAAACGCACCAGAGUCGGACGAGAGCGAGAAGAGGGUAAAGGUGGACUAUGGGAGCAGGCCUGCUGCAGACGUACCACGUGGGUGAAGAAGUCCGUCGGGUUGUAGAGCACAUUUGUUGGGUAAGAAAAGGUGCAGGUUAAUACCCCAGUGUUCUGACGGUACUCAAGGUAUAGGCACUGGCAACCUUCGU
RNAcentral lists this ribosomal RNA (491 nucleotides) under uncultured bacterium. Its description in RNAcentral is "partial 16S ribosomal RNA". It matches the Rfam family "Bacterial small subunit ribosomal RNA", at positions 29 to 506 of the family's 1533-position model. The record is from RNAcentral.